Gorilla gorilla gorilla (western lowland gorilla) is the source of this 84-nucleotide microRNA precursor. Ensembl annotates it as microRNA 1266. NCBI's taxonomy places the organism in Eukaryota, Metazoa, Chordata, Mammalia, Primates, Hominidae. The record is from Ensembl.
ACAGGUAGUGUCCCUCAGGGCUGUAGAACAGGGCUGGGAUUACUAAAGCCCUGUUCUAUGCCCUGAGGGACACUGAGCAUGUCA